CAAGAAAUAGUUUAUCAAAAAUAAUGCGUUGAAGGUGCCCCGAGAUUGGGAGUUCGUUAUUUUUUACUUGA
This 71-nucleotide transfer RNA is filed under the name Physella acuta. RNAcentral's name for it is "transfert RNA-F(TTC)". Lineage: Eukaryota; Metazoa; Mollusca; Gastropoda; Physidae. The record is from RNAcentral.